AUUAAGUUCAUUUUACAGUUUUUAGAUACAAUGUUUUGACUCUUCGUCUUAUUUGAAUUUUUUUUACAAUUAAUAUUUUUAUCAUUACUAGAUGGUAAAACAUGAAUAGUAAGUUUUUGUAUAAAUUUUUUAAAUAAGACGAAUGGUCAAAUCGUCGGACAGAAAUCGAAAAAUGAAGUUAUU
This 183-nucleotide microRNA precursor is filed under the name Oryza brachyantha (malo sina). Its description in RNAcentral is "MIR812 microRNA precursor family". It matches the Rfam family "MIR812 microRNA precursor family". Lineage: Eukaryota; Viridiplantae; Streptophyta; Magnoliopsida; Poales; Poaceae. The record is from Rfam by way of RNAcentral.